AUUGAACGCUAGCGGGAGGCCUAAUACAUGCAAGUCGAACGGUAAAUGGUAGCAAUACUAUGAGAGUGGCGUACGGGUGCGUAACGCGUACACAACCUGCCUUGUACUGGGGGAUAGCCUCGGGAAACUGAGAUUAAUACCCCAUAAUUUUACGAUGUGGCAUCACAUUGUAAUUAAAGCUCCGGCGGUACAAGAUGGGUGCGUGUCCGAUUAGGUAGUUGGUGAGGUAACGGCUCACCAAGCCGACGAUCGGUAGCUGGUCUGAGAGGACGAUCAGCCACACGGGCACUGAGACACGGGCCCGACUCCUACGGGAGGCAGCAGUAGGGAAUAUUGGACAAUGGACGCAAGUCUGAUCCAGCCAUCCCGCGUGAAGGAUUAAGGCCCUCUGGGUUGUAAACUUCUUUUCUUUGGGAAUAAAAAGCGGUAUUCAUAUCGCCUUGAAGGUACCAGGGGAAUAAGCACCGGCUAACUCCGUGCCAGCCGCCGCAGUAA
Molecule: ribosomal RNA, 495 nt
Filed under: uncultured bacterium
Lineage: Bacteria
Description: partial 16S ribosomal RNA
Rfam family: Bacterial small subunit ribosomal RNA
Source: RNAcentral